UUGUCCGGAAUUACUGGGUGUAAAGGGAGUGUAGGCGGGAUAUCAAGUCAGAAGUGAAAAUUACGGGCUCAACUCGUAACCUGCUUUUGAAACUGACAUUCUUGAGUGAAGUAGAGGCAAGCGGAAUUCCUAGUGUAGCGGUGAAAUGCGUAGAUAUUAGGAGGAACACCAGUGGCGAAGGCGGCUUGCUGGGCUUUUACUGACACUGAGGCUCGAAAGCGUGGGGAGCAAACAGGAUUAGAUACCCUGGUAGUCCACGCCGUAAACGAUGAUUACUAGGUGUGGGGGGAUUGACCCCUUCCGUGCCGGAGUAAACACAAUAAGUAAUCCACCUGGGGAGUACGACCGCAAGGUUGAAACUCAAAGGAAUUGACGGGGGCCCGCACAAGCCGUGGAGUAUGUGGUUUAAU
Molecule: ribosomal RNA, 410 nt
Filed under: uncultured bacterium
Lineage: Bacteria
Description: bacterial SSU rRNA
Rfam family: Bacterial small subunit ribosomal RNA
Source: RNAcentral